CAAUAGCGUAUAUUAAAGUUGUUGCAGUUAAAAAGCUCGUAGUUGGAUUUCGGAUGGGAUUUGCCGGUCCGUCGUUACGAUGUGCACUGGCCAGUCCUAUCUUGUUGUCGGGGACUAGCUCCUUGGAUUCACUUCCUGGGACUAGGAGCUGACGAGGUUACUUUGAGUAAAUUAGAGUGUUCAAAGCAAGCCUACGCUCUGAAUACAUUAGCAUGGAAUAACACGAUAGGACUCUGGCUUAUCUUGUUGGUCUGUGAGACCAGAGUAAUGAUUAAGAGGGACAGUCGGGGACAUUCGUAUUUCAUUGUCAGAGGUGAAAUUCUUGGAUUUAUGAAAGACGAACUUCUGCGAAAGCAUUUGUCAAGGAUGUUUNCAUUAA
This 379-nucleotide ribosomal RNA is filed under the name uncultured eukaryote. RNAcentral's name for it is "partial 18S ribosomal RNA". It matches the Rfam family "Eukaryotic small subunit ribosomal RNA", at positions 592 to 976 of the family's 1831-position model. The record is from RNAcentral.